UUUUCUUUCAUCUUAUGGCUGUGCUUGGGUGUUGUUACACGUUUGAUUUUGUCUCUUUCUUUGUGUUGUCGUCUUAUGAGUUAUGAGAGCAGUUUCUACACGUCUUCUUCGUGUAGCUUUUGACUUCUGCAGUAUUCCCCGCUGUUCAUGCACUCGAUCUUUCGCUUCCGUUCUCAACUUUUGGGUUUUCGUCUUUCAAGCUUCAAUACGGGUGUGCGGCGGGGGAAGUUGUGUGUUGGCGUCGUCUUCACCAGUUUAUAGUCCGUCGUGCGUGCCCUUCAUUUAUCCUCUUUGCAGGUCUAUGGUCUGAUCUUGAUCACCUCCUCAGAUUCGUCGUCUUGCUUCCGAAGCUUACUCACCUCCGCAGUUUCGUUGUCUUCGUCGUUAUCAUCAGGUUAUUGGGCUAUUUUUUGCUUCGAUUGGGAAAGUCUUGCUAUUUAUUUGUUCAGAUCUCUAUUUUUACGAGGAAUCAUGGCGAAGGAUCCCGGUCUCGACUCUAACAUCGGCAAGAUAACCUGGGGUUUGUCCCUCACUUUCUUUCUAAAUUCGUUAGUGUUUGGACUCAUGGGCAUCUUGGCCGCAGAAUCUCAAGAAUGAAUUUUUAAUGGUAUUCAACAUCUGAAGAACGCUAUCAGUUGCUAUGUAUUUGCAAAAUCUCUGAGGUCAUCUGUAUCAAUUAGUUAUGGUGAGGUUCGUGCGCUCUCUUCCGUGCUCUUUCUCCCUAACUUCUCAGAAUUUCUCUUUUUUUUUUCUUGCGACUUACCAAAUUACAGGUUCUACUUACAGGUAAGAUGGACAUGGUUUGCUCUUUCUUGAUUAUCACCUGAUGCUUAUGUUAUUAUGCUUUAACUGAAAAUAGUUAUUGUCUCUUUGAUUAUCACCUGAUGCUUUUUGAAGAAAGAACUUUCUUAAAGUAUAAAAUAUAGGGCCCUAUGAUUUAGUUUGUGCCUCUUGCCAUACCAUUCUCUUGAAAUUUUUUGCUUGAUAAUUAAGAGUAGUAAGUUCUGUUUUUCCAUGCUUCUGGUAUCAUUAGUGCCAUUCGUUGUGGCAAAUAUAACAAAUGAGGAGCUCAAAUGCCUAAUUCAAACAUCUGAAGAACUACAUGAGUAGAAAGAGGCUUUGAAAAGAAGUUUGGAGCUCGACACGACUAGGAACAAAACUCUUGCACAAGAUUGUCGUUAAUUCAGUAUCUGUAAUAUUCAUUGGAAGAAAGAGAGGAGAUUGAGAAAUUCAAUGAGAGGAGGUUGACAAUACCUUGGCAUCACUCUUUCUUGCUGAAGUUGCCACUCCCUUCCUCUGCAACAUCAAAGGAACCAUUUAAUCCCAUGCCUUUUGGCUUUUUUUUAAGAUUCUCUUAGGUGUUAGGCCUUUGUUCCUGCCAUUGUUGAAGGUUUCCCCCUGAAGUGUACAUUUUGCUUCUAAUUUUUCUUUCGUUUCCAGCUUUGGUUGUAGCUACUUUAAAACACAUCCAUAAAUGACAAAUAUUAAAACCAUCACCCGAAAGAUCUAAAAUGAAAAAUGACAACCCUUAAAAAGCACAGUCCACUACAUCUCAGCAAGGUCAACACACAGUAGUUUAACCCGAAACACAGUUCAAGACUAACCCCAAACACAGUUCUACACCCGCAAAAACAAACCAGCCGCAACGCGUGGGUACUAUCAUUCUUCCUACACACAAAUAUCUUGUGGAAAUGAAGCUCUUAUUGCGUAUCCGGCCUUAUAACUGUUGCCAUGUUGAGAUAUUUUCGUAAUUUGAUGUUUGUGUUUUUUCGUAAUUAUUUUAGGAUUGUAGCCGAUUUAGUUGUCAUUAUCUUUUGAUUUUGAAGAAAGAUAUUGAAAACCUCAUAGUUAGGGGUUAGCAUCGAGUCAGAUCGAUCCGAAAAUAGAAGGCAACUCUGGAUUUACUAUUCGGGUUUCAGGCUGGGCCUGGGCUUGUCUUGGGAAGAAAAUAAAAGCCCAGGCCUGGAUUGAGCCCAAAUGAGUCAGGCUUUGGGUUGGGCUUCGGCCCAAUGAUUCUUCACUCUUUCUUUUUCACACUUGCUUACACUAUGACAUGUAUAUAGUCUGUAAGCAGUGGGAAUGGAUGAUGCGUGGGUCAGUGUGUGGGUAUAUAUAGUCUGUGAUAGUCUCUUUGUGUGUGUAAAUGUAUAGUCUGUGUGUGUAUGUAUAUAUAUGAUAUGCUUAUAUAUGAUAUAUGCAGUAUACUUACAGUAUAUAUAUGUGGUGUGUGUGUAUAUAUAUAUAUCUAAUAUUACUAAUCUAUUGGGCCAUAGGUCAGGCUUUGGGCUGGGCUUGGCCCGAGUUUAGUCCAUGUAGUUAAGCUUCGGGAUUGGCAAGGAUUUGGCCUACGGGCUCAGGCCGGUCCUAAGCCCGCGAGCCGUUUGGUGACUCCUACCCAUAGUUUCUUUCAAAUAUGAUGGAUUGUAUUGUUUACUUUCUUGAUUAAACAUUGGCUUAAUCUUUGUUUGUUGUUUUUGUCUGCGUCACAAGUUCUAACAUGGGAAGCUUAAACUUGACUAUUGGCUAGGUCCUCAAGGCCGUUUGUGAGUUUAUUAUGACUUCACUAAUCAUUGCCAUUGUUGUACCCAGAAAGAAAAUAUUAAUUAAAUCAGUACUUUUUUUUCUUUGUUUUGUAUAUAUAUAAUUAAAUUGACUUGAGAAAAACCUUUUGAUUGGGGAAAAAAAUAAAUUAAAGACGAAUAAAAAGAACGCACGAGACUCGCAGAGGUUCGCAAGAAUGAUAAAGAGGGAAUUCCGAACAAUGUUUUUUACCACUUCAAUCUCUUGAAAAUUGAAUGGAAAUAUGAAACGCAACUUCUUCGCGGUAACUUUAAUACCAAAUACCAACAUUAAUUGCUUGAUAUGCAAGUUUCAUCACUCUAUAUAUAUUGUCCAGUUUGAUCACAAACAUCUUUGCCAAUUGCAAGCUUAGGGUUCCUAGCUAGCAUUCUAUAAUACUUGCACAAGUUUCAAUUGUCGUUUUUUUUGGUUGUGAAAUGGCCCUAAUUAGUAAGAGAUUAUACUGGAAAAAGACUUCGAGGAGGUAUUCUGGUUCCAUGCGAAGGAGACUUCUACGGGUUGAUACUAGCGUGGAAGCGAGGAUAGCAAGAUUGAAGAAGGAGGUGGCAGAGAUCGGGGAGGAACAAAGAUGCAUAAGAGAAGGGCAAAGGGAAGUGAAAAAGAAGAUUGAAAUAAUCAAAAGCAAUUGUGCACAACUUAGAAGAGAAACUCAGCUAAUGUGCAUGCAAAGCACCAUCUUCAACCGUAAACUCAAUAUUAUGCUUCAAAUCAUGCAUGCAAGAAAAUGUGGCGACCACGAUAAAGCACAGAAGCUAACUCAAUUCCUCUUCGAUGAUCGUUUCUCUUAAAAGGGGUUCAUGCAUGCAUGGUGGAUUGGUUGAAAAUGAUCCAGUCAAUAAAUUCUCGAGGUCUGGCUAGAACUAUGUUGGGAGUUAAUUAAGCUCAUAAUGUGUGUGUGUGUGUAUAUAUAUGUGUGUGUGUGUGGAAUGUGGGAAAGUUGCAUGGUUUGUGAUCGUUGUUAUUAUUAUUUUUGUUAUUGAAUUUUAUCAUUCAUUUUCAUUAAAGAACACUUUCGACCAUUAAAUAGAAUUAAGUUUACGUACCGCGCGUUGAACUUGUCCUCA
Tripterygium wilfordii is the source of this 3644-nucleotide long non-coding RNA. RefSeq lists it as uncharacterized. Lineage: Eukaryota; Viridiplantae; Streptophyta; Magnoliopsida; Celastrales; Celastraceae. The transcript is spliced from 4 exons. The record is from RefSeq and is a predicted model, not a curated record.